ACCCACUGAGUGCAUAAAUGCGUGUAUACACGGAACAAGCUAAACUGCACUAAGAUCAUAUAAUAGCAUAACAUACAAAAAAUGACAAAGAAAAGAUAGGAUAGAUACAACAAGUAGCAGCACCUACAAAAGCACGCUGCAACAUGGCAUUUUAUUUAAACACUACAAUAAUUGUUAAUAGCCACUUCCUCAGUUGAUAGCUGCUGGUGGGAUGUGUGGAGGGUCAGGCUUUGGUUUGGGCUCGGGCUUAGGUUCUGGCUGUGGUUUUGGUUCGGGCUUAGGUUCUGGUUUUGGUUGGGGCUCUGGUUUUGGUUCGGGUUUAGGCUCUGGUUUUGGAUCAGGCUUAGGCUCUGGCUUUGGUUGUGGCUCCGGUUCUGGUUUCGGUUUUGGUUCAGGUUUAGGCUCUGGCUUUGGUUCUGGUUCUGGUCUUGGUUCGGGUUUAGGCUCAGGCUUUGGCUCUGGUUUUGGUUCGGGCUUAGGCUCUGGCUUUGGCUCUGGUUUUGGUUCUGGCUUAGGCUCUGGCUUUGGUUGUGGCUCUGGCUUUGGAUCUGGUUUCGGUUUCGGCUCAGGCUUUGGCUCUGGCUUAGGUUCUGGCCUUGGUUCGGGUUUAGGCUCAGGCUUUGGCUCUGGUUUUGGUUCGGGCUUAGGCUCUGGCUUUGGCUCUGGUUUUGGUUCUGGUUUAGGCUCAGGCUUUGGUUGUGGCUCUGGCUUUGGUUCUGGUUUCGGCUCAGGCUUAGGCUCUGGCUUAGGUUGGGGCUCUGGCUUUGGCUCCGGUUUCGGUUCGGGUUUAGGCUCUGGCUUAGGCUCUGGUUUUGGUUGUGGCUCUGGCUUUGGCUCUGGUUUCGGUUUGGGUUUAGGCUCUGGCUUUGGCUCAGGUUUAUGCUCUGGCUUAGGCUCUGGUUUUGGUUCAGGUUUUGGCUUUGGUUUUAUUUUAGGUUCGGGCUUAGGCUCUGGCUUAGGUUCGGGCUUAGGUUCAGGCUUCGGUGUAGGCAAUGGCUCUGGUUUGGAUUUUGGUUGAGGCUUGGGCAUUGGUUGAG
Molecule: long non-coding RNA, 1037 nt
Filed under: Zea mays
Lineage: Eukaryota; Viridiplantae; Streptophyta; Magnoliopsida; Poales; Poaceae
Description: long non-coding RNA (ZMAY_LNC000311)
Source: RNAcentral